AUCAUAGUAUCUAUCAAUGAAUGCCAGUUCGUUUUCAUAUUUACUUGAUCACAGUUUUUUUCCCUCUGUACAUGAUUAUUUUGCUUCAGAAUAAAGAAUUUUCCUUCCUUUUUUUAUUGCACUGAAUAGCUCUUCCAGUACAAUGUUGAAUAGAAGUGGUGAAUUCUCUACAGAAUGGUGCAUAUAUUCAAGAAGGCUUUUCCACUCUGGUUGGCGAGAGCUUGAACAUUCCCUGGCCCAAGGUCUUCAGCACUGUGACCCAGUCUUGCUCAGAUUCUGACGUCUUUCUCUUUGGUGUGUGGGAAGGUCUGUGGUUGAGUCAAGGUCAGAGCUUCUUUGCCUUGUUUCUAGGCCAUUCGGAGAAACUACACCUUAAGAUGAAGACCUUAUUUGAAGACCAAACUUUGUGCGAGACUUUAUCAUGAAAGCCUUCGAGGACCUUGGGGAGGUCCCAAGAGAGCAAAACUACAUACCUAGUGGACAGUGGGUAGAAAGAAGGAGAGAGAAAGGAAUCUGCUUCCACGCUUCCAAUGGAGAGGUUCCACUAACUUCGGAUUCCCAGUGUAUAGACAUUCUCUUCUUGGGAGAAAAGACUCCUAGAGGCUAUGUAGGCCAAGCCGACUCCCUGUUCCACCUAAGAACUUACUGGAGACAGUCAUCGAGCCUUCUGAGUCCUCCUUUCUCCAAGUCCUUCAGCGGAACCUCAAUGGAUACCACAUGGUUUCUACAUUUGCAGCCACCCUCCUCAGAGCACUUUGUCAAUAUCCUUCCUGAACUGUGACUCCUGCUUUGACACAUUAUUCUAACUCUUUUCUUCUCUUGUUAUGCUAACUUCGUCUUAUAUUGAUAUCUAACUUUUCGUGGUUCUAUGCCUUGUCUGCCUUACUAAGUUCUGUCCUUUAUUUAUGGUGACGGCAUUUUGUACAGUGUAACUCCAAAGUAAGAAAGUCUUUAUUCCCCGGUCAAAUAAAGGUAUAUCCAAAUGAAUGAUGUGUUUCAGGAGUUAUGCACUUAUUCCAGUGAUGCCUUAAUCACCCACCUUACCCUUUAGAAAUUGUAUUCACCCUGGGAGAGAGGGAAGGAGAAACAUUUGGGACAAGAUGCAGAGGAGACUUCCAAGUUCAGGGUUGACUUCAUGUAUGCAGCCUGUAGCAUCACAUGGGGCCCCUUUCGCAGAAGGGCCCUGCACUAGGUUUAAGGCUUGGCUGUCAUGGUUUGAAAUUCUUGAUAAUGUUAUCUUCGAGCCUGUGUUUUGUAAGUAAAGUCUGAUGGCACAAUGGAAC
RNAcentral lists this long non-coding RNA (1283 nucleotides) under Homo sapiens (human). RNAcentral describes it as "HSALNT0141247". The record is from RNAcentral. Lineage: Eukaryota; Metazoa; Chordata; Mammalia; Primates; Hominidae.